Long non-coding RNA from Malus domestica (apple), 1906 nucleotides. RefSeq lists it as uncharacterized. The record is from RefSeq and is a predicted model, not a curated record. Lineage: Eukaryota; Viridiplantae; Streptophyta; Magnoliopsida; Rosales; Rosaceae.
UCCCUAAAAGGCACGACCCUGAUUCAUUCGCAACUCUACUACAUCCCCGCCGCAAGCUGUCGCUUUUGCUUGCCGUUGCGUUUUCUCGCCGUCGCUCUUGUUCAUCAUCGAUCCACCUCGUUGUCGGCCCAAUAAUUUCGCACGCCGUCGCACGUUCGUGCACCUCAAAGAAGGGUGCGCCGUUUCUAGAAAAAGAAGCCUUCAAGCCAUAAGAGGUGAUGGGGUAGGAAAAACAGAAGAUUUUAGUUAGUGAAGCACCUUCAUAUUGUAAGAAUCCUACCUUUUCGAUAUUGAUUAGGGUUUUAGGUUGUACGAUUUAACAAUUUUGAAUUUUUAAGAAAUUGUGACUUUUUUAUUCCGAUUUCUUUUUCUGUGGUUUUUUGGAAUUGUGUUUGUAGUGGGUGUCUCCAUUGUUUAGUGUUUUCAAUGUGCAUGUGGUUUGUGUCUCCAUUGAUAGUCCCAGUUGCAAUGCUUUAAAGAAACCCUUUAUUGAUGGUCACCACGGUUUGUUUGUCCCUUUUUUUGUCCUCACCAGGCUUAUAAAAGCUUUGUGGAGCCAGAUUUGUUUGUGUUUUUUGGCUUUUAAAGCCCUUUAUUAUUGACUUUUUAGGCAUGCCAGAUUUGUUACCCUUACCAUGGUGGGAAAUGGUCUGAAGAUGCAUAUACGGAAGGGUUUGAAGCUUGGUUUGAUUAUGUAGACAAAGACUUUAUGUCUUUUUUUUUAGUUAGAUUCGAUGGUUGAGGAGUUAGGGUAUGACGGGUCCAUUUUGUAUCACUAUAGGAUUCCUGGGAUGUCUUAUAGGGAGGGAUUAAGGCUGAUAGAACGUGACCAGAUGUGGAUAAUAUGUAAUAUGUGUAAGUAUGUUCUAGGGACUAGGGAAAUAGAAUUGUAACUAGAACAUCAAAGUGCAAAGCAAGCUACCCUUAAACAUAAUCUCUGAUGAAUCUAGAUGAGAGUGGAAUAGUAAAAAGGAAGGUAACUAUAUAAGAUAUUGAGGAAUCGAGGGUUGCAUUGUCUAUUAAAAAGGGUAGUGGGUCAAAAUUGAAAAAGUCUAGAGCAAAAUGAGGUGUUAAUGACUUACAAAAAAGGUUAUGCAUUUUGAAUGACAUAGUCUACAAUGCUAAUCACGAAGAUAAUGGAUACGAGACUGAGGAAAGACAAUGAAGUGGAAGGGUCUCUCUACAAUGCUGAUGAAUGAACUCUCAAUGGUGUUGAUGAAGUGACUUUCAAUGGUGCUGAUGAAGGUGAUAUUAAUGGUGGUGAAGAAGGGGCUGAUGAUGUUGGAACUGAAGGUAAUGCAGAGGAAGACAGUACUGAUAAUGAAUUUGUGGACGAUGAAUAUUUAUGGAAGAUGAUGAUCGUGGUGCAAUAGAUGAAAAAAGUGUAGAUACACUAAUUGGAGAAGAUCAUAGGGGUGAAAGGUUUGGUAAUGGUGGAGAUGGUGACAACUAAAAUAUUGAUGAAGUUAUUGAUGAAAGGGAUGUAAACUACGUUCCCUUUGAUGAUGGAAUAUAAGACUUAGAUGGCCUGCACAUUGUUGAUGAAUUAGGUUCUGAGGUUGAUGAAAGGGUCAUAUACCCUGAGUUCAAUGAAGAAGCUAACAUGGAUGAUCCAAAUUUUGAAAAAGGAUUGAAGUUCAGAGAUGUUUCACAAUUGAGAGAGGCACUGUGGUCACACUCCAUUUAGCACGGUGCUAUUUCAAUUAGGCUGAAAAUGAAUAAGAAGUGGAAGAUAAGUGCAAAGUGUGCAACAAACUGCAGGUGGAAAUUGUAUGCUUUUAGGAUAGGGGAUAACAAUUCUAAUUGUUAAACUCGAUAACCAUGGAUAACCACCCAAAUAGAUUGGAUUUGGGUAUGAAAAUUUGGGUAUAUUUUGAAUAUGAAGAAAAACCGUGAAUAUUAUUCA